AAGGAAUUAUGACUAACAUGCUGCAGACUCACUUGACUGGAAAAGCAAAGGAGAUAAGAGAGGUGGGAAUGUGUUAGCAAAAUGUGUGUGUGUGUGUGUGUGUCCAUGUGUGUGUGUGUUUAAAUGUGACUUUAAAUCACUCUGUCACGGUUAUGGUCAUGCAGCUCGGGCUCAUCCUGCCUCAAUCUGGCUAAGAAGGUGUGUGUGUGUAAGAGAGAGACAGUUAGUAUGCUGCACAUCGCCAUCUUUGAAUCAUAAAUCUAAAGCUGUCUCUAGUUUUGCGGUCAAACACAAACGCGUUGUCAGUUUACAGCCUAACAAUCCUGCACUAUAUCAUCCGCCGCCCUCCUCUGUUUUCAGGCAGCCGCUGAUGUUUGGAUUCAUUCAGUCAUCCACUUGCGCAUAAAUGAAUUUUGAACAGACAAAACUGAAGCUCUGCUGAAAACGAGACACUUUCCUGUUAAAUAUUCAAACCCAUUCAAACCCAAUUAGGUUAAUUAAGAACAAAUUCUCGUCUCUCCUUAAUGAAAUUGACCAAGAAGAAGAAGAAGAAGAAGAAAGAUGAAGAGGGAAGAGGAUGUGAGGGGGAAUGCUCGUCACCAUGGCAACACAUUUAGAGUCACACUCAAGAAAAGCAAACAGUGACAACUGUUUCCUUUUUUCCUAUCUUCACCAGCGCUCACGGUGAGAAACAGACAACAGGUGUUAAGUAAACGAAAUGAUGAAGGUGAGCAUCAGACUGAGUCAGCUCUGAUCUGAGGCCAGUGAAUCCACAGAAUAUGAGUCAACCACACUACUGCUCAAUCUGUGUGUGUGUGUGUGACAGAGGAGUAGUGGUGAGGCGUGUGGUGCUGUCAGUCACACAGAGUAUGAUUCAUCGGGGUCAAUGGUGCAUGCUGCUAUUGUGUGGGCCUCUGUUGACGGACACCGCUGCAGAUGAGAAAGCAAAACAACUUUUAAUAUCUGGUCUCAAAGAAACACCUCAAACUGUGACAGGAGAGAAGAACAAGAGGAACAACAACGACGGUGAGAAAGAAAGAAACAAAGAAACCAAUCUGGCUGAACUCCGUCUGUUAUCAGUAUAAUGAGAAACGUUUUUAUAUCCACAAACUGUUCACUGCCAACAUGAAAUGUGCAUAAUGAAUGCAUCUGUAAAAUUUCAGUUUCAUCCUACAAAAUCUGCUUCUGGCAAAUACGGCAUGAUUUACCUUUUCAUGGUUAUGUUUUGGCAACUAAAAGAAGAUCUUGGCUAACUUUAGAAAAAGUAGGGAUGCACCGAUACCGAUACCGGAUCGGAUAUCGGUCCGAUACUGACUCAAAUAGCUGGAUCAGUUAUCAGAUCUAUACAAUUCAGUUCAAUGUUUAUAUUCUAUAUACAUUAUAUACUGGAAUUUUAAUUCCUGUUUAAGUUCUGACCAAUUUUUGACAGAUUUUUUUCCAAG
Sebastes umbrosus (honeycomb rockfish) is the source of this 1442-nucleotide long non-coding RNA. RefSeq lists it as uncharacterized. The transcript is spliced from 3 exons. The record is from RefSeq and is a predicted model, not a curated record. Lineage: Eukaryota; Metazoa; Chordata; Actinopteri; Perciformes; Sebastidae.